AGCGAACGUUUGCGGCGGGCUUAACACAUGCAAGUCGAACGGGCUGUUCCUUCGGGGGCAGUCAGUGGCGCACGGGUGCGUAACACGUAGGUAAUCAACCCUCUGGUUGGGGAUAACGCUUCGAAAGGAGUGCUAAUACCCGGUAUGGCGCAGCGGUCUUCGGAUCGCGGCGAGAAAGACCCGCAAGGGUUGCCAGAGGACGAGCCUGCGGCCCAUCAGCUAGUUGGCGAGGUAACGGCUCACCAAGGCGAAGACGGGUAGCUGGUCUGAGAGGAUGAUCAGCCACACUGGAACUGAGACACGGUCCAGACUCCUACGGGAGGCAGCAGUGGGGAAUAUUGCGCAAUGGGCGAAAGCCUGACGCAGCCACGCCGCGUGAGCGAUGAAGGCCU
RNAcentral lists this ribosomal RNA (392 nucleotides) under uncultured bacterium. RNAcentral describes it as "bacterial SSU rRNA". It matches the Rfam family "Bacterial small subunit ribosomal RNA", at positions 29 to 417 of the family's 1533-position model. The record is from RNAcentral.